CUACGGGUGGCAGCAGUGGGGAAUAUUGCACAAUGGGCGCAAGCCUGAUGCAGCCAUGCCGCGUGUAUGAAGAAGGCCUUCGGGUUGUAAAGUACUUUCAGCGGGGAGGAAGGGAGUAAAGUUAAUACCUUUGCUCAUUGACGUUACCCGCAGAAGAAGCACCGGCUAACUCCGUGCCAGCAGCCGCGGUAAUACGGAGGGUGCAAGCGUUAAUCGGAAUUACUGGGCGUAAAGCGCACGCAGGCGGUUUGUUAAGUCAGAUGUGAAAUCCCCGGGCUCAACCUGGGAACUGCAUCUGAUACUGGCAAGCUGGAGUCUCGUAGAGGGGGGUAGAAUUCCAGGUGUAGCGGUGAAAUGCGUAGAGAUCUGGAGGAAUACCGGUGGCGAAGGCGGCCCCCUGGACGAAGACUAACGCUCAGGUGCGAAAGCGUGGGGAGCAAACAGGAUUAGAUACCCGUAGUC
Molecule: ribosomal RNA, 462 nt
Filed under: uncultured bacterium
Lineage: Bacteria
Description: partial 16S ribosomal RNA
Rfam family: Bacterial small subunit ribosomal RNA
Source: RNAcentral